Molecule: ribosomal RNA, 378 nt
Filed under: uncultured eukaryote
Lineage: Eukaryota
Description: partial 18S ribosomal RNA
Rfam family: Eukaryotic small subunit ribosomal RNA
Source: RNAcentral
CAGUAGCGUAUAUUAAAGUUGUUGCAAUUAAAAUGCUCGUAGUUGAAGUUUGGAUAGAGCAAGCUCUGGCUUGGAAACGCUGUUAUGGUGCUUCCGUUGCUUUUGCUUGUCCACAGUGCGUUGCAAGUACGUAUGUGCUUGUGCGUGCAUCUUACUUUGAGAAACAUAGGGUGUUCCACGCAUGUUACAGCAUGAAUAUUCCAGCAUGGGAUAAUCUGGUACGACUUCCAAUCUGCCAUUUUGGUUCGUAGGUUGGAAGUAAUGAUUAAUAGGGACUGUCGGGGGCAUUGGUAUUUGACUGUCAGAGGUGAAAUUCUUAGGUUAGAUUCGUUGAGGACCAACCACUGCGAAAGCAUUUGUCAAGGAUGUCUCCAUUAA